UGAGUACGAGAUGCUACGGCAUCGAAGCAGUCUAUGUCAUACUUCCAAGAAAAGCUUGCAAUGUCAUAAACAAAUAAUGCCUGUACCAUAACCGACACAGGUGGGUAGGUAGAGUAUACUAAGGGGCGCGAGAUAACUCUCUCUAAGGAACUCGGCAAAAUGACUCCGUAACUUCGGGAGAAGGAGUGCCUUAUUUUUAUAAGGUUGCAAUAACAAGAUCCAAGCAACUGUUUACCAAAAACACAGGUCUCCGCUAAGUCGUAAGACGAUGUAUGGGGGCUGACGCCUGCCCAGUGCCAGAAGGUUAAAGAAGUUGGUUAGCAUUAGCGAAGCUGAUAACUGAAGCCCUGGUGAACGGCGGCCGUAACAAUAACGGUCCUAAGGUAGCGAAAUUCCUUGUCGGGUAAGUUCCGACCCGCACGAAAGGCGUAAUGAUUUGGAUACUGUCUCGGAGAGGGGCUCGGUGAAAUAGACUUGUCUGUGAAGAUGCGGACUAUCUGCACCUGGACAGAAAGACCCUAUGAAGCUUUACUGUAACUUGAGAUUGAAAUUGGACUUUAUCUGCGCAGUAUAGGUGGGAGACGUUGAAAAUAUUCUUGCGGGAAUAUUGGAGUCAUCAGUGAGAUACCACUCUUAUAAUGUUAGAUUUCUAACUUUGUAUCAUUAUCUGGUCAAAGAACAGUUUCAGGCGGGCAGUUUGACUGGGGCGGUCGCCUCCCAAACGGUAACGGAGGCGCACAAAGGUUUCCUCUGAACGUGUAGAAAUCGUAUCUAGAGUGUAAAGGCAUAAGGAAGCUUGACUGUGAGACCUACAAGUCGAGCAGGGACGAAAGUCGGUCUUAGUGAUCUGACGGUGCUGAGUGGAAAGGCCGUCACUCAACGGAUAAAAGUUACUCUAGGAUAACAGGCUGAUCUCCCCCAAGAGUUCACAUCGACGGGGAGGUUUGGCACCUCGAUGUCGGCUCAUCGCAUCCUGGGGCGGUAGUACGUCCCAAGGGUUGGGCUGUUCGCCCAUGAAAGCGGUACGCGAGCUGGGUUCAGAACGUCGUGAGACAGUUCGGUCCAUAUCCGGUGUAGGCGUUAGAAUAUUGAGAGGAGCCUUCUUUAGUACGAGAGGACCGAGAAGGACAUACCUCUGGUGUACCAGUUAUCGUGCCAACGGUAAACGCUGGGUAGCCAUGUAUGGAGAGGAUAACCGCUGAAAGCAUCUAAGUGGGAAGCCCACCUCAAGAUAAGUAUACU
RNAcentral lists this ribosomal RNA (1242 nucleotides) under metagenome. RNAcentral's name for it is "bacterial LSU rRNA". It matches the Rfam family "Bacterial large subunit ribosomal RNA", at positions 1564 to 2814 of the family's 2925-position model. The record is from RNAcentral.